ACGUAGGUGGCAAGCGUUGUCCGGAAUUAUUGGGCGUAAAGGGCGUGUAGGCGGCCAGAAAAGUCUGUCUUAAAAGUGCGGGGCUCAACCCCGUGAUGGGAUGGAAACUGUUGGGAUUGAGUGUCGGAGAGGAAAGCGGAAUUCCUGGUGUGGCGGUGUAAUGAGGAGAUAUGAGGAAGAACACCGGUGGCGAAGGCGGCUAUCUGGUUUGAUACUGACGCUGGAGCGCGAAAGUGAGGGGAGUGAACGG
RNAcentral lists this ribosomal RNA (250 nucleotides) under uncultured prokaryote. RNAcentral's name for it is "partial 16S rRNA". It matches the Rfam family "Bacterial small subunit ribosomal RNA", at positions 525 to 775 of the family's 1533-position model. The record is from RNAcentral.